CAAAAAGAAAUUGCGGAUAGUCGGCGUUGACAAAUUUUGUCAACGGAUUGUGACUCUGUAAUUGCAUUCUUUCUUCUGUCAGUUAUCAGCUGUUACUUUUAGCUUGCUUUAGAAAACAAGUGCGCGAAAUUUUGUUUACAUUUGUUUGUUUGGCGUCAAUUUUAAUAUGGAGCCCACAAAGAAGCAUUUUCGUCAUAUUUUACUUUAUUAUUUCCGUAAAGGAAAGAACGCGGAGCAGGUUGCUAAAAAGUUACGAGAUGUAAAUGGUGAUGAAGCCUUAAAAGGAAGACAGUGUCAAAAUUGGUUUUGGCCAUCAAGGAGAAGCGACCAGAAUUGGUCAAUCGUAAAGGUGUCAUAUUCCACCAGGACAACGCUAGACCGCACACUUCUUUGGUCACUCUCCAAAAACUGAGUGAGCUUGCCUGGGAACUUUUGAUGCAUCCACCAUAUAGCCCUGACCUUGCCCCAUCAGACUACCAUUUAUUACGAUCUUUGCAGAACUACUUACAUGGUAAAACUUUUAGCAAUGAUGAGGCUAUAAAAUCGCACUCGGUUCAGUUUUUUUGCAUAUAAAGACCAGAAGUUCUAUGAGCGUGGAAUACUAAAUUUGCCAGGAAGAUGGCAAAAGGUUAUCGAACAAAAUGGCAAUUAUAUAUUUGAUUAAAGUUCAUUCUAAGUUUUAUGAAAAAUUCAUUUACUUUCUUUUAAAAAAUCCGCAAUUACUUCAAUAAUAAUAAUAAUUAAAUAUUUUGCAUACCUUAAUGCUGUUUGUUAUUGUUGGUAAUUGAUACGUAAACCGCGACAUAAAUAUUUUUCUGAGGCAUUUGGUAAAGCGUUAAUACGUCAGAUCUUUAAAAUUUGUAACUGUGGGCACAGACAAUUUGAAAAUUGUUUAGUGCAUCAUUUGACAUAGGACACCUUGUUUUAUAAAUUCUUUUUAAGUAAAUUCUUUUUCAUUUAGGCUGGAGCUACAUUCGGAAAGUGGAAAUAAUAAACCAGAACUAAUUUUUAUGGACCAAGUAGAAGAUAUAUCAUCGGAUUUCAUUCUGCACAAAAACGAGAAUUGCAUUCAAAUUCGCAUUAAUGAUGGAACCCGUGAUGGCAGAAUCAUUUUGACAAACUCAGAUGAAAUAGGAUUAAAAGAAUGGUCAUCUUCCCUAAGAUCGGCACACAAAAUUUCUCAAGACCUCUUGGGAUCAAUGGCUAAAAAA
This is a long non-coding RNA of Drosophila mauritiana, 1211 nucleotides long. RefSeq lists it as uncharacterized. NCBI's taxonomy places the organism in Eukaryota, Metazoa, Arthropoda, Insecta, Diptera, Drosophilidae. The transcript has 2 exons. The record is from RefSeq and is a predicted model, not a curated record.